This is a small nucleolar RNA of Brassica rapa (field mustard), 137 nucleotides long. RefSeq annotates it as small nucleolar RNA Z247. The record is from RefSeq and is a predicted model, not a curated record. NCBI's taxonomy places the organism in Eukaryota, Viridiplantae, Streptophyta, Magnoliopsida, Brassicales, Brassicaceae.
CCUCUUGACCCUGAAGAUCUUACUGAUCAGAUACUCGCAGGUUUACCAGAAGAUUACAAGCCGGUUAUUGAUGCUGUUAAUGGGAGAGACAAAACCAUAUCAUUCUCUGAGCUACAUGAGAAACUCCUAAAUCGAGA